AAACGGGGUCUAAUACCGGAUAAUACUUUCUCGGGCAUCUGGGAAGGUUAAAAGCUCCGGCGGUGAAGGAUGAGCCCGCGGCCUAUCAGCUUGUUGGUGGGGUGAUGGCCUACCAAGGCGACGACGGGUAGCCGGCCUGAGAGGGCGACCGGCCACACUGGGACUGAGACACGGCCCAGACUCCUACGGGAGGCAGCAGUGGGGAAUAUUGCACAAUGGGCGAAAGCCUGAUGCAGCGACGCCGCGUGAGGGAUGACGGCCUUCGGGUUGUAAACCUCUUUCAGCAGGGAAGAAGCGCAAGUGACGGUACCUGCAGAAGAAGCACCGGCUAACUACGUGCCAGCAGCCGCGGUAAUACGUAGGGUGCGAGCGUUGUCCGGAAUUAUUGGGCGUAAAGAGCUCGUAGGCGGCUUGUCACGUCGGUUGUGAAAGCCCGGGGCUUAACCCCGGGUCUGCAGUCGAUACGGGCAGGCUAGAGUGUGGUAGGGGAGAUCGGAAUUCCUGGUGUAGCGGUGAAAUGCGCAGAUAUCAGGAGGAACACCGGUGGCGAAGGCGGAUCUCUGGGCCAUUACUGACGCUGAGGAGCGAAAGCGUGGGAAG
RNAcentral lists this ribosomal RNA (600 nucleotides) under Pilimelia sp. 233-FB. RNAcentral describes it as "bacterial SSU rRNA". It matches the Rfam family "Bacterial small subunit ribosomal RNA", at positions 154 to 768 of the family's 1533-position model. Lineage: Bacteria; Bacillati; Actinomycetota; Actinomycetes; Micromonosporales; Micromonosporaceae. The record is from RNAcentral.